Molecule: ribosomal RNA, 253 nt
Filed under: uncultured bacterium
Lineage: Bacteria
Description: partial 16S ribosomal RNA
Rfam family: Bacterial small subunit ribosomal RNA
Source: RNAcentral
UACAGAGGAUGCAAGCGUUAUCCGGAAUGAUUGGGCGUAAAGCGUCUGUAGGUGGCUUUUUAAGUCCGCCGUCAAAUCCCAGGGCUCAACUCUGGACAGGCGGUGGAAACUACCAAGCUGGAGUACGGUAGGGGCGGAGGGAAUUCCUGGUGUAGCGGUGAAAUGCGUAGAGAUCAGGAAGAACAUCGGUGGCGAAGGCGCUCUGCUGGACCAUAACUGACACUCAGGGACGAAAGCCAGGGGAGCAAACGGG